RNAcentral lists this transfer RNA (67 nucleotides) under Vibrio parahaemolyticus. RNAcentral's name for it is "tRNA-Leu". The record is from RNAcentral. Lineage: Bacteria; Pseudomonadati; Pseudomonadota; Gammaproteobacteria; Vibrionales; Vibrionaceae.
GCUGACAUGGCGUAAUUGGUAGGCGCGAGAGAUUCAAAAUCUCUUACCGUAAGGUGUCUGGGUUCGA